This 1136-nucleotide long non-coding RNA is filed under the name Cyanistes caeruleus (blue tit). RNAcentral describes it as "lncRNA (ENSCCEG00000004062.1)". Lineage: Eukaryota; Metazoa; Chordata; Aves; Passeriformes; Paridae. The record is from RNAcentral.
CCCAAUUCCCAUUUCCCCCCCCCAGUCCCGUUUCUCCCCCUAAUCCCGCUCCCGCCGUUCCCAGGGAGCCCGUUCCAGGUGCCGGUGUCGGACGUGGUGGACGCUUCCCGCGUGUCCUGCGGGGGGCCGGGCCUGACCCCCGGCCACGUCCGGGCCAACGUCCCCCAGAGCUUCACCGUGGACACCUCCAAGGCCGGCGUGGCCCCGCUGGACGUCAAAGUCCAGGGUCCCAAGGGUCAGCAGGGGGGGAUUUCCUGCGAUUUGGGGGAUCUGGGUGGGCUUUGGAGAGGGUUUGGAGGUUUUUAAUGGGAUUUUAAGGGGUUCUGGAGAGGUUUUGGGGCGCUCAAUAGCAGCUCUUGGGACAUCCUGUGGGAUUUUGGGGCUUCUCUGUGGGAUUUCAGAGCAUCCUGUGGGAUUUUGGGACUUCUCUGUGGGAUUCUGGAACAUCCAGUGGGAUUUUGAGGCAUUUUGAGACGCCCAGUGGGAUUUCAGAGCAUCCUAUGGGGUUUUGGGGCUGCUCAGUGGGAUUUCAGAGCAUCCUGUGGGAUUUUGGGGCUUCUCUGUGGGAUUCUGGAGCACCCUGUGGGAUUUUGGGGCUGCCCUGUAGGAUUUUGGGGCACUUUAUGGGAUUUUGAUGCACUUUAUGGGAUUUUGGGGCACUUUAUGGGAUUUUGAUGCACUUCAUGGGAUUUUGUGGCACUUUAUGGGAUUUUGUGGCACUUUAUGGGAUUUUGUGGCACUUUAUGGGAUUUUGGUGCACUUUAUGGGAUUUUGUGGCACUUUAUGGGAUUUUGGAGCCACCCCACACCAACAUUUCAACACUUCCCCUCAUCCUACACCACCUUUCCACCACUUCAACCCACCCCCACCAUUCCAACCUUCCCCAACCUCUUGAAACCCCCCCAAAAAACCCCCAAAAAACCCCAAUCCCCCUUUUCCAGGCGUGCUGGAGCCCGUGGACAUCGCCGACAACGGCGACGGCACUCAGCGCGUGUCCUACGUGCCGUCCCGCGAGGGUCCCUACAGCAUCUCCGUGCGCUACGGCGACCACGAGGUGCCCCGGAGCCCUUUCAAGGUGAAGGCGCUGCCCACGCACGACGCCAGCAAGGUGCGGGCGAGCGGCCCCGGGCUCAACA